This 690-nucleotide ribosomal RNA is filed under the name Triticum aestivum (bread wheat). RNAcentral's name for it is "partial small subunit ribosomal RNA". Lineage: Eukaryota; Viridiplantae; Streptophyta; Magnoliopsida; Poales; Poaceae. The record is from RNAcentral.
AUGGAUGGCUCUUCAUGGACACUGACAGUUGUAUAUGGGCCGCAGGAUGAUGAUGACAAGAUUGUAUUUCUGCAGGAGCUCCGCAACCUCAAGCUCUUGGUGAAAAAUGAAUGGCUGCUUGCAGGCGAUUUCAAUCUGAUCGCGAGAGCAAAUGAGAAGAACAACCCCAAUGUCAACAUUCGGAUGAUGGGCCGGUUCAGAAGUGUCAUCGAGGAUCUUGAACUCCGUGAGUUUCAGCUAACUGGAAGGAAAUUUACUUGGGCCAGUCACAAUAGCAACCACACCUGCUCCAAGCUCGACCGCAUCCUCAUGUCUCGCGAAUGGGAACUCAAGUUCCCCCAGUACCAUUUGAUGCCUGCCUCCACGGCCAUUUCGGACCACAGCCCUUUGUUACUCAAGAGGAUGGUGACCAAGCACUAUCAUGGGUUCCGAUUUGAAUCUUUUUGGGUUAAUCUGCCUAGGUUUAGGGAGACGGUUCAGGAGGCUUGGGACAAGGAUGUGCGCUCCAACAACGCCUUCAGAAUUCUGCACACCAAGCUUUGUCACACGGCUGCCGCCCUCAAGCGGUGGAGCAGAGCACACAUGUCUGAUUUGCGGAUUCAGGAGGCUAUCGCAAACGACGUCAUUUUCCACCUAGACAUGGCACAAGACGAGAGGGUGCUGUCCGACGCCGAGCUGAAUCUGAGGUGA